GCUGAGGUGCAGGGACAUGGCUCUAUCCAGGGUGGUACGGGGACAUGGCUGGGACCAUGGAGGCAUGGGGCAUGGUGUCAUCCACGGUGGCAUGGAGACAUGGCUCCAGCAUGGGGACACAUCUCCAUCCACGAUGGCCUGGGGACGCAGCCGGGACCGUUGCCCUGGGGGACACAGCCCACGGCCACGGCUCCCCGCGUGCUCCCAGCCGACCCCAUGUCCCCCUCCGGCAGAGCGUCCCCACAACGCYGCCACCAACAGCGGCUACUCCCGCAAGGAGAACGGCGGCUUCUUCUCCUGCUAGGAGCCUCCUCGCCCGCAGUAAACGCCUGAGCGUGGCCAGACCCGGCGUCCUCGCUCCCGCGCCGAGGACAGAGCCGCUCGGGGAGGGGGGGGGACAUGGGCUGCGUCACCCCAGGCUCACGCGCCUUGCACCAAGCUUGCGCGCGGCUUGCACGGCCCCGUGUCUUGCACAAACCUCGCACGUGUCGCGGGGAGCUCGCGCGGCCCCGUGCAAAGCUCCCGCCUGCUGCACAGAGCUCGCACGGCCCCGUGCAACGCUACUGCGCGUCGCACGGCCCCAUACUAACCGCGCCCACGGGGCUUGCAAGGCCCCGUGUCCCAUACAAACGUCACACGCGCCGUGUGGCGCUUACACGGCCCUGUGCACGGCUCACGCUCAGCGCACGGUCCUGCGCAAAGCUCCUGCACGUUGCGUGGGGCUUUCGGGGCCCUAUGCAAAGCUUGCACGCUGUAUAGAGCUUGCACGGCCUUGUGCAAAGCUCACACGCGCUGCACGUAGCUUGCACGGGCCUUGUGCAAAGCUCACCCGUUGCACGGCCCCGUGCAAGGCCCCCGCACGCUGCACGGCCCCGUGCAAGGCCCCGGCGGCUGGAGCGGAUCAGAAUCGCCUCGUACUCAGGGGCCGGGCCCGGGGCACCCGGGGAUCCGGCCUCGUCUAUCUGAUCGACUCAUCACGUCCGCGCCGCCGGAGCGGUCUCGCUGCACAGCGCCCCGGGGGGGGGCUUCGCAGGAGGGGUCUUCUCACGNNNNNNNNNNNNNNNNNN
Molecule: long non-coding RNA, 1067 nt
Filed under: Apteryx haastii (Great spotted kiwi)
Lineage: Eukaryota; Metazoa; Chordata; Aves; Apterygiformes; Apterygidae
Description: lncRNA (ENSAHAG00000017302.1)
Source: RNAcentral